GUAGAUCUGCUUUCUUGAUCUGGGACUCCUUUCUAUUUAUGUGCCCUUCUUUUAAUAGGAUAAGACUUGUCUGUGGGAUACAAGGCUAUUUAGGACGAGUGCUCGAGCUACUUAUGGUACUGAUUUGGGAAAGCCAGCUAUCUUGUGCCUGGGGACCCUGAGAACCGUGAGAAGGUACAGUAUUCCCUGAUGGAGGAAGCAUUUCCUUAUUCUGAUGGGUAAUUGA
Molecule: non-coding RNA, 226 nt
Organism: Vicugna pacos (alpaca)
Lineage: Eukaryota; Metazoa; Chordata; Mammalia; Artiodactyla; Camelidae
Source: RefSeq, a predicted model, not a curated record